This 106-nucleotide small nucleolar RNA is filed under the name Phaseolus vulgaris (common bean). RNAcentral describes it as "Plant small nucleolar RNA R71". It matches the Rfam family "Plant small nucleolar RNA R71". From Rfam's summary of the family: R71 is a member of the C/D box family of snoRNAs containing the C (UGAUGA) and D (CUGA) box motifs. Multiple nearly identical copies of this snoRNA have been identified in Arabidopsis, and it is thought to function as a 2'-O-ribose methylation guide for 18S ribosomal RNA. The record is from Rfam by way of RNAcentral. Lineage: Eukaryota; Viridiplantae; Streptophyta; Magnoliopsida; Fabales; Fabaceae.
AACCCAUGAUUUGGCCAUUUCCUCAGCAUCAUCUUGAAUCUCUCCCAUGUCUCACAGAAAGAUUCAUGUACUCCUUGUUUGAACAUAGAGAUUUCAGACUUAGCUU